ACUUCUAGUCGUGAGGAAGGUAGUGUAGUUAAUAGCUGCAUUAUUUGACGUUAGCGACAGAAGAAGCACCGGCUAACUCCGUGCCAGCAGCCGCGGUAAUACGGAGGGUGCGAGCGUUAAUCGGAAUUACUGGGCGUAAAGCGCAUGCAGGUGGUUUGUUAAGUCAGAUGUGAAAGACCCGGGGCGUCAACCUCGGAAUUGCAUUUGAAACUGGCAGACUAGAGUACUGUAGAGGGGGGUAGGAAGUUUCUAGGUGUAGCGGUGAAAUAGCGUAGAGAUCUGAAGGAAUACCGGUGGCGAAGGCGGCCCCCUCGGACAGAUACUGACACUCAGAUGCGAAAGCGUGGGGAGCAAACAGGAUUAGAUACCCUGGUAG
RNAcentral lists this ribosomal RNA (376 nucleotides) under uncultured bacterium. Its description in RNAcentral is "bacterial SSU rRNA". It matches the Rfam family "Bacterial small subunit ribosomal RNA", at positions 432 to 793 of the family's 1533-position model. The record is from RNAcentral.